Molecule: ribosomal RNA, 377 nt
Filed under: uncultured organism
Description: partial 16S ribosomal RNA
Rfam family: Bacterial small subunit ribosomal RNA
Source: RNAcentral
GUAGGUGGCAAGCGUUGUCCGGGAAUUAUUGGGGCGUAAAGCGCGCGCAGGCGGUUCUUUAAGUCUGGAUGUGAAAGCCCACGGGCUCAACCGUGGAGGGUCAUUGGAAACUGGAGAACUUGAGUACAGAAGAGGAAAGCGGAAUUCCACGUGUAGCGGUGAAAUGCGUAGAGAUGUGGAGGAACAUCAGUGGCGAAGGCGGCUUUCUGGUCUGUAACUGACGCUGAGGCGCGAAAGCGUGGGGAGCAAACAGGAUUAGAUACCCUGGUAGUCCACGCCGUAAACGAUGAGUGCUAAGUGUUAGGGGGUUUCCGCCCCUUAGUGCUGCAGCUAACGCAUUAAGCACUCCGCCUGGGGAGUACGGCCGCAAAGGCUGA